GGUCGGGAACUCAAAGGAGACUGAAACUGAUAAACAGGAGGAUUGAGUGGAUGACGUCUAGUCAUCAUGGACCAUCAGACCACGGCAACAAACGUGCUACAAUGUCCCAUACAAAGAGCAGCGCCCUCGCGAGAGCACGCGGACCUCAUAAAGUGCUACGUAGUCCGGCUUGGAGACUGCACCUCGCCUCCAUGAAGUCGGAAUCGCUAAUAAUCGUGGAUCAGAAUGCCACGGAGAAAACGU
This 243-nucleotide ribosomal RNA is filed under the name Salmonella enterica subsp. enterica serovar Typhimurium. RNAcentral describes it as "partial 16S ribosomal RNA". It matches the Rfam family "Bacterial small subunit ribosomal RNA", at positions 1129 to 1371 of the family's 1533-position model. The record is from RNAcentral. Lineage: Bacteria; Pseudomonadati; Pseudomonadota; Gammaproteobacteria; Enterobacterales; Enterobacteriaceae.